CCUACGGGAGGCAGCAGUAGGGAAUCUUCCACAAUGGACGAAAGUCUGAUGGAGCAACGCCGCGUGAGUGAAGAAGGGUUUCGGCUCGUAAAGCUCUGUUGGUAGUGAAGAAAGAUAGAGGUAGUAACUGGCCUUUAUUUGACGGUAAUUACUUAGAAAGUCACGGCUAACUACGUGCCAGCAGCCGCGGUAAUACGUAGGUGGCAAGCGUUGUCCGGAUUUAUUGGGCGUAAAGCGAGUGCAGGCGGUUUAAUAAGUCUGAUGUGAAAGCCGUCGGCUCAACCGGAGAAUUGCAUCAGAAACUGUUGGACUUGAGUGCAGAAGAGGAGAGUGGAACUCCAUGUGUAGCGGUGGAAUGCGUAGAUAUAUGGAAGAACACCAGUGGCGAAGGCGGCUCUCUGGUCUGCAACUGACGCUGAGGCUCGAAAGCAUGGGUAGCGAACAGGAUUAGAUACCCUUGUAGUC
RNAcentral lists this ribosomal RNA (465 nucleotides) under uncultured bacterium. RNAcentral describes it as "partial 16S ribosomal RNA". It matches the Rfam family "Bacterial small subunit ribosomal RNA", at positions 338 to 795 of the family's 1533-position model. The record is from RNAcentral.